Lepidothrix coronata (blue-crowned manakin) is the source of this 160-nucleotide long non-coding RNA. RefSeq lists it as uncharacterized. The record is from RefSeq and is a predicted model, not a curated record. The transcript has 3 exons. NCBI's taxonomy places the organism in Eukaryota, Metazoa, Chordata, Aves, Passeriformes, Pipridae.
CCCUCUUUCCCGCAGACCUUCUUCUUCAACGUCUUCGAGUCGCCCUCGGAGCUGUUUGACACGCCCGUCUUCAUCACCGUGGUGGAUUCCCGAUCUUUCCGCCCGGACUCGGUGAUCGGGGAGUUCCGGAUGGACGUGGAGACCGUUUACUCCGAGCCAA